RNAcentral lists this long non-coding RNA (1105 nucleotides) under Drosophila melanogaster (fruit fly). RNAcentral's name for it is "Su(Ste):CR42439 (Dmel_CR42439)". Lineage: Eukaryota; Metazoa; Arthropoda; Insecta; Diptera; Drosophilidae. The record is from RNAcentral.
CUACUUCCAUCCUAAAACUGAUACACAGCCAUGUUCGGGCCCAGCUGUCCGGACAUCUUCUUAACGCAGCUGCCGAACUUGAGACCGCCCCUGGAGACAACCCACGGUAAGUAAUUCUCCGAAUAUAGUCCUGGUUGUUUUCUAACCAAAGCGCUUAACUUGCAGUCCCUAUGCUUUCGGUUACACCAGAAGGCCUUGAUGCCACUUAAAUCGCCCAAGUCCUCACCAAAGAAUAUCAAAUACUCGGCCAGCUAGUCCUCGCUCCGGCAUUCCGAAGUCAAGCUUCAAUGUUCUUCUAGGGAUGACGUGAUUUUUUAACUCCACACAAAAGAAAGCAUAAAUAUUUGUCCGAUAUAUUGUUGUUGCAAUUAAACAGAUUCCACCACCUACUAAUACACCUCAUACACCUCUGCCUUAAAUACUUGGUACAAAGUGUUAGGUCCAUGCUGGUCAUAUCAAGAACUCAUUCGAGUAGCAAAGCAUACUUUUCGUUAAUAGUGGUAAUCACCUGGGUAUAAUAAUAAUAUUAAUCAAUAAAACAUUCAAUUCAGUUUUUUAUUUAAUUUUACGUUAAAAGAGUUUCCAAGUGUUUUCCUGACUACAUCAAAUAUUUUUUGAUAAUUUAAUUUCUUUAAAUUCUUUAAAUAUACAAAUUCUGGUUUAAUGUAUUAUAGGAGUGAGUAGAAGAUUAAAACAUUAUUUUCAAUUUAAAAUAAAAUUAGAAUUUUGAUUCAAUCAUUUUUAUGUAAUUCUUUUUGUAGAGUAUUCAAUACUGGCAACUUCGUAUUUUAGUUCGAUUUCCCAUGCUGUUUUUGGUUAAUUUCCAACAUACAAGAUUGAUUUCGCGCGUAAAUUUAAACGCACUUUAUUGCCUUUUUGGAAGAACGUUGCUUGAAAACGGAAAAUCGAAGGAAAACCUGACCGUACCUAAGGGACAGCCUUGGGGGGAAAACUGGCAGUGCAUUUUCCCAGCCCCAAAGAUUUUCCCCGGCACGUCGGGGAACUUAUUAUGAAAUAAAAGAACUAAUAAUUAUUAUGCCACCCCCACAUAAAACGAAUUUUCGAGUCUAGAGUUCCCAUCUGCAAUGGCAAGACAGAGUCCUGG